Aquila chrysaetos chrysaetos is the source of this 2624-nucleotide long non-coding RNA. RefSeq lists it as uncharacterized. The transcript has 7 exons. The record is from RefSeq and is a predicted model, not a curated record. Lineage: Eukaryota; Metazoa; Chordata; Aves; Accipitriformes; Accipitridae.
GGAAAAGAAAGCUUAUAAGAAAUGUAUGAGCACUCUAGCUUUUUUGCAGAAAUAUUAAGGAAUAUUGGCCAAGAUUUUCAAACAUAGUGGCUUAACAUAGUCUUUUAACUCCAUAUUCAGGCUUCUUAUUCAAGGUCUACUGUUCAGAAGGAUGAAAACCUGGCAACUCAUCCACUUUGAGUAGCCUUUUUAGUUACUCAGUGCUUGUGAAAACUGAUGUAGCAGUUUGAAUAUGGACUAAAAAUCCUAAUGUUUGGUAUUUUUGUUGGCAAUCCUGUAAUAAUUAUGCUGUAAAUCAAAAUAUGGGUUUGGAUUUCAAGAAAAGUGCCUUGAGCCCUGCUCCCACCCUUCUGCAGAGACACUGCAUAGCUUUUUCAGAUUAUUAGGUAUAAAAUUAUCAGUUUGAAGGACAGCUGACAAACUUUUACUUAGUAUCUUUCUCCAUGUGUUGCCCCCAUGAAAAUGUACAUACAAACCUGUUCAUGCAAUGUGCAACAUAAAGUCAUUAGUUCCCAAGAGGCUUGGAUUGAUAUGAUGUGCUUGGAACAGCCAUACAAAGUCCCAAGCGUGACUGCACUCGUAAUGCAAGGAUGCUAACAAGGGGAGCCACAGGCAAUGCUAAUGUCCUAUAUAAAUAUCAAAUGUGCUUAUCUAUUUUAUAGGCUAAUCACUCUCAUGCAGCUGCUACCAAGUCAUAUGUACUUUGCCUAACUCAAAUCCCACUGACGUGACUGGGAAGAGUCUGUGAUUUGGUGGGCUCAGCUGCCAUCAGGAUAUUUAGGGUUCAGUACGAUUCACCUGGAUGGUGAAUUCUGGAGACCUGUGCUCCAGCUGGGGUGUGAGCACAUACUUGAGUGCUUUGCUGGAUCAGACCUAGGGAGGGCCCAGAACCUCUCUGCAUAGCCCCUGCCCUCAGUUGCUGACAACACACUCCCUUUGCUGCUCAGUGUCUAUCCUGCGUGAACCCAUGGGUUACUAGAAAAACAGCUCUUUGGUAAGCAGGGUGAUGCUCUUCACGUGCUGAUUGGCUUUGUGGUUGAAAAUUGAGAUACUUGGCCUAAGAUCUUCCUUGCCUGUGUUUUUACUCUCCAGAGCCACUGGUUUCCCAGGCUCAGAGUUAACUCCAGAGAGCCAAACACAGCCAAAGGUAUCUCUCCAUUUACUUUAAGCAUUUUAUCAGCCCGGGCAAAAUGAAAACUCAAGAGUAGUGGCUCCUAACCUCUGUACAGCUGAGCUUCAGCAGCGCCAUGUACCCCAAGACCCUGGGUGGCCCGGCUUCCACGAGACUAUGCUAACCUUAGAGGGAGGAAGCAUUUGGAGAGGGAGGAGAGCCAAAAGGGAGUACUGAUUUCACAAGGGAAACCUGCAGGUAGCUUGACUGUUUUACCUCAGAUUUCUUCAAGCCCAUUUGAAAUGUGCCUGCUACCCCCUGUUUCAUCUGAAUGCAACACCUGGGCUAUUGGAAGGUCUUUCUUCUGACAAAAGAAUUAAUUAAAUUUUGGUCAAAACAGUACAUUUUCACAAAAGAAGCUUGAAUCUUGUAGAGAGAGGAGCAUUUUCUGCCAGAAAGGAGAUCUCAAAACAUCAACCCAGGUACCUCCAGAGUACAUUGCUGCCAACCAGCCCUUGAGCUUCUGGUCGCUGUCUGGAAUCUGUUUCUCCAUUUCAGGUGGCUCCAGCUGCCCGCCCAGCCGCAGCACGGGCUCUGAGAGCUGCUGCAUGAUGGCAGCCAGUAUCCCAUGGAGAGCUCAAGUCAGCAAGAUGGUGAGCAUCUUACAGGAGCUCAUCAGCACCCUCAAGCCUUGGGAAAGGUUGUGCUCCUUUUGGUACCUGAUGGAGGCAGGCAGGGACCUCUGCCAAAAUGCACGAUGAGAGUUCUUUCCUGGCUGCACAAUGGGUGCUUCAACACGGACCUGACAGACACUUUAGCCUGUGAGGCCCCAGUUCAGCAAAAUACUUAAGUGGGGACGGAUCUAAGCAUGCAUGUGAAGACAUGGAUUUCCCCGACUAUGAUAACUUCAGUAUAACUGUAUGUGUGCUGUGAACUCUGUACAAUUACUCUACAGGUCUGGAGUUGAGCUGUGUUUCUCAUCAUGAGAGUGAAUUAGUCAAGUGGCCCCAUCACAAGCAAAAGUUCUAGGAGUAAGACAUCUAUGAAGUUCAGGUCCUCCCAUGCUUAGGUAGCAGCUCAGUGGAGGUUUUCAGGAUUGCCGUUUCAGUCAAAAGUGUGCAUGUUGCAGCUAAGCCUCAUUUUAUUCUCCUAAACGCAAAUGAACAACUUUUUAGCCAAGAAGCUACAGUCCUAGAGGGGCCAUUUUGGAGCUGGCUGCAGCUUGCUGCACCUCAUUCUUCCAAGUGGCAAGCUGAAAGAGAAAUUCUGUUCUCUGAGCCACAUAAAAGACCCUUGUUCUGAUACUCUGCAUUCACUGGAGCUCCACACAUGGUGGGAAGAAUGGAAGGGCAGACUAGAGAGGUACUGCCCUUGAGAGGUGCUGAAAGCCCCUUGGACUUCAAGAAUAUCCUGAAUUGCCGCUGUCUUCAGUAAGAGAAGAAAAUACUCAGCACCAGGCAUAGAAAAACUCAGCAGUCUGCUUAAAAAUGAAGAAGUCGUGACACCUAGCGGU